ACCAUAAUUGAUCCAUCAUGAAUCAUCUUUUUAAUUUCUCUUUUCAAAUCUCGACAAUCUUCAAUACUAUGACCCUGAGCCUCAGAAUGAUACGCACAUCGUGUGUUAGGAUUAAAAUUUCUUGAACGCCGAUUAAGGGUGUGCCCAAGGAGAGGAGUGAUCAUUCUUUCCUAUACCAAUCUCUGAAAUAAACUGGCAU
Molecule: long non-coding RNA, 199 nt
Filed under: Capsicum annuum
Lineage: Eukaryota; Viridiplantae; Streptophyta; Magnoliopsida; Solanales; Solanaceae
Description: long non-coding RNA (CANN_LNC016514)
Source: RNAcentral